RNAcentral lists this ribosomal RNA (443 nucleotides) under uncultured bacterium. RNAcentral's name for it is "partial 16S ribosomal RNA". It matches the Rfam family "Bacterial small subunit ribosomal RNA", at positions 338 to 795 of the family's 1533-position model. The record is from RNAcentral.
CCUACGGGAGGCAGCAGUGGGGAAUAUUGGGCAAUGGAGGCAACUCUGACCCAGCAACGCCACGUGAGUGAUGAAGGUCUUCGGAUUGUAAAACUCUUUAAGUGGGGACGAAGAAAGUGACUGUACCCACAGAAUAAGCCUCGGCUAACUACGUGCCAGCAGCCGCGGUAAUACGUAGGAGGCAAGCGUUAUCCGGAAUGACUGGGCGUAAGGGGGGCGUAGGUGGUUUGGCAAGUUAGUAGCGUAAUUCCGGGGCUCAACUUCGGAACUACUACUAAUACUGCUGGGCUUGAGUGCAGGAGGGGGAGGUGGAAUUCCUAGUGUAGCGGUGAAAUGCGUAGAUAUUAGGAGGAACACCAGUGGCGAAGGCGAUAUACUGGACUGUAACUGACACUGAGGCACGAAAGCGUGGGGAGCAAACAGGAUUAGAUACCCGAGUAGUC